This is a long non-coding RNA of Cyprinodon variegatus (sheepshead minnow), 921 nucleotides long. RefSeq lists it as uncharacterized. The record is from RefSeq and is a predicted model, not a curated record. Lineage: Eukaryota; Metazoa; Chordata; Actinopteri; Cyprinodontiformes; Cyprinodontidae. The transcript is spliced from 3 exons.
AGGAAUUUACUUUAGAUCAAACAGACAAACGUCUCCCUUUAACCACUGGCUCACGUUUGGCAGCUACACCUAUGAAGAUGAAGAGGGGGUGUUCCCAGAGAGCCAGUUUGUCUUUGACUUGGAGCUCCCUCUGGACUUCAAGCCACGCAUAGGAGAUGGAGAAGUUCAGGAAUUCUACCUGCUGCCAAUAGAGAAGGUGAAGGAACUGCUAGCCACUGAUGACUUCAAGCCCAACUCUGCCAUGGUCGUCCUAGACUUCCUCAUCCGACACUCGUUUGUUGAACCGGACACAGAGCCAUAUUAUCAAGAAUUUGUAACAGGACUCCAUCAAACCUUAUAGACAAGAAACGCCACCUUGGUUUCCACUCGGUGGUGUGGAUUCAGUAACCGGAGGCUGAGCGUCGAGGGCAGUGAAUCAGAUGAGGACAGGAACGGAUCCUGACCAUCUCAACACUGGGAUGGCUUCUGUAUAAAGAGAGGACAGCAUAUCCUAACUGUCAAAGUUUAGCUUACUUCAAUGAGCGAUGCUCAGUGCUCACACAUGUUCAGAUCAAAUGCAAAGGAUGAAUUGAAGUAGAAGGUUUUAUGCAUAAAUUCAUGUCUCUGUUUAUUUGCAAAAUUUCUUACAAACUGCAAAUGAUGAAAAAAAGAUGAGAAGGAACAUUGAACCAAUGAAACGCCUCUUAAAAUGUUGAAUUGUUUAAAUGGUUUAAAAGUUGUUGGCUUUUUUUGAGUGAAAUUACCUUUUCGUCUUUGGUAGAAGUUAUUUAAAGGAAUUCAGAAUUCAAAUUUCUGAAAGUACUUUAAAUAUGAAGUUAUUACAUACUGUUCAAUAAAUGAUAAGCGUUUCUUUUUUUAAAACUUUUUAUUUAGUAUUUUUUCAAUUUUACAUUAAAACAAACAAACAAACUAAAAAAUAUG